UGAAUACGAAAUGCUACGGCAUUGAAGUGAUCUAUGCCAUGCUUCCAAGAAAAUCUCGUCAUAUCUUAAACAAUAGAUGCCUGUACCUUAAACCGACACAGGUAGGUAGGUAGAGUAUACCAAGGGGCGCGAGAUAACUCUCUCUAAGGAACUCGGCAAAAUAACCUCGUAACUUCGGAAGAAGAGGUACCCUUGAAAAAGGGUUGCAAUAACCAGACCCUGGCGACUGUUUACCAAAAACACAGGUCUCCGCCAAUUCGUAAGAUCAAGUAUGGAGGCUGACGCCUGCCCAGUGCCGGAAGGUUAAAGAAGUUGGUCAAUCUUUGGAUGAAGCUGGCGACUGAAGCCCCGGUGAACGGCGGCCGUAACUAUAACGGUCUUAAGGUAGCGAAGUUCCUUGUCGGGUAAGUUCCGACCCGCACGAAAGGCGUAACGAUCAGGGUGCUGUCUCGGAGAGAGACUCGGCGAAAUAGACAUGUCUGUGAAGAUGCGGACUACCUGCACCUGGACAGAAAGACCCUAUGAAGCUUUACUGUAUCUUGGAAUUGGGUUUGGGCCUUGCUUGCGCAGGAUAGGUGGGAGGCUAUGAAAAUAUUCCUGCGGGAAUGUUGGAGCCAACGGUGAGAUACCACUCUAGUAAGGCUAAAAUUCUAACUCUGAACCGUUAUCCGGUCAGAGAACAGUUUCAGGUGGGCAGUUCACUGGGGCGGUCGCCUCCUAAAAGGUAACCGAGGCGCGCAAAGGUUCCCUCAGGCUGGUUGGACAUCAGUCGUAGAGUGUAAAGGCAUAAGGGAGCUUGACUGCGAGACCCACAAGUCGAGCAGAGACGAAAGUCGGCCUUAGUGAUCCGACGGUUCCACGUGGAAGGGCCGUCGCUCAACGGAUAAAAGUUACUCUAGGAUAACAGGCUGAUCUCCCCCAAGAGUUCACAUCGACGGGGAGGUUUGGCACCUCGAUGUCGGCUCAUCGCAUCCUGGGGCGGUAGUACGUCCCAAGGGUUGGGCUGUUCGCCCAUGAAAGCGGUACGCGAGCUGGGUUCAGAACGUCGUGAGACAGUUCGGUCCAUAUCCGGUGCAGGCGUUAGAGCAUUGAAAGGAGUCCCCCUUAGUACGAGAGGACCGGGGGGAAUACACCGCUGGUGUACCAGUUAUCGUGCCAACGGUAAACGCUGGGUAGCCAUGUGUAGCGUGGAUAACUGCUGAAAGCAUCUAAGUAGGAAGCCCACCUUAAGAUGAGUGCUCUCACCGCUAUAAGCGGGUAAGGUCACGGUAAGAACAACCGUUAUAUAGGCAUUAAGUAUACGUGCAGUAAUGCAUUUAGCUAAGAUGUACUAACAGACCGAGGGCUUGAUAAU
Molecule: ribosomal RNA, 1354 nt
Filed under: metagenome
Description: bacterial LSU rRNA
Rfam family: Bacterial large subunit ribosomal RNA
Source: RNAcentral